This 119-nucleotide ribosomal RNA is filed under the name Pteropus alecto (black flying fox). Lineage: Eukaryota; Metazoa; Chordata; Mammalia; Chiroptera; Pteropodidae. The record is from RNAcentral.
GUCUAUGGCCAUGCCACCCUGAACAAGCCCAAUCCAGUCUGAUCUCGGAAGCUAAGAAGGGUCGGGCCUGGUUAGUACUUGGAUGGGAGACCACCUAGAAAGACCAGGUGCUAUAGGCA